GUGCCAGCAGCCGCGGUAAUACGUAGGUGGCAAGCGAUACUCGGAAUCACUAGGCGUAAAGCGCAGGUAGGCGGUUGGAUAAGUUUUUUGUGAAAGCUCCCGGCUUAACUGGGAGAGGCCAAGAAAUACUGUCUGACUCGAGUGUGGUAGGGGAAACUGGAAUUCCUGGUGUAGCGGUGAAAUGCGUAGAUAUCAGGAGGAAUACCUAUGGCGAAAGCAAGUUUCUGGGCCAUCACUGACGCUGAGCUGCGAAAGCUAGGGGAGCAAACAGGAUUAGAUACCCUAGUAGUCC
This 292-nucleotide ribosomal RNA is filed under the name uncultured bacterium. Its description in RNAcentral is "partial 16S ribosomal RNA". It matches the Rfam family "Bacterial small subunit ribosomal RNA", at positions 505 to 796 of the family's 1533-position model. The record is from RNAcentral.